UUAACUUAAACAUUUCUCUUUUACAAUUUGUCUCUUCAGAAAAUUCCAUUUCUUUACUCAUUCUGAACUAAUGAUUGUGAUGAAUUAAUUGAUUUAAUCUGCUUCUAGGCUCAUUUCUGCUUCGCAGUAAGGGUCUUUGCAGAUUUGACUGACCACCCAGCAUACCUUCUUGGAACCACGUAUCAAUUAAAACAUCUACUCCUCUGACAUCCAUAACUCCCUUUGUUUAUUCUACCUCUGAAAUAUUCAGUAGGCUAUAGCAGUUUAUUCAUGGGUCUGCAGUAUUUCUCAGGUAUAUCUCUGUGAUACAGGGUUACCUUCCACCAAUAGGGGGUGUCUGCAUCCAGUUAAUGGGUUUGUCGCGAUCGCUGUCUUAUGUGACCUCAUCUCAUUCUUAUCAGACUAUCACCCUCCACGGGUUCCUGAUGAAGCCGUAACGGCGAAACUAGUAGAACCUCUCUACGUGGGGUCCGAAGAAGACUAUGUGCAGUUAUUUGCACCACUAGUACUUUUUCUAUU
Molecule: long non-coding RNA, 519 nt
Organism: Rana temporaria (common frog)
Lineage: Eukaryota; Metazoa; Chordata; Amphibia; Anura; Ranidae
Exons: 3
Source: RefSeq, a predicted model, not a curated record